RNAcentral lists this ribosomal RNA (293 nucleotides) under uncultured bacterium. RNAcentral describes it as "partial 16S ribosomal RNA". It matches the Rfam family "Bacterial small subunit ribosomal RNA", at positions 505 to 796 of the family's 1533-position model. The record is from RNAcentral.
GUGUCAGCAGCCGCGGUAAGACGUAGGGGGCGAGCGUUAUCCGGAUUCACUGGGCGUAAAGGGCGCGUAGGCGGUUACGAAAGUCCGAUGUGAAAAGUCACGGCUCAACUGUGAUCGUGCAUCGGAUACUUCGUUGACUUGAGGUCGGUAGAGGCAAGUGGAACUAGCGGUGUAGCGGUGAAAUGCGCAGAUAUCGCUAGGAACGCCGGUGGCGAAGGCGAUUUGCUGGGCCGUACCUGACGCUGAUGCGCGAAAGCUAGGGGAGCGAACCGGAUUAGAUACCCGGGUAGUCC